Long non-coding RNA from Salvia miltiorrhiza (redroot sage), 908 nucleotides. RefSeq lists it as uncharacterized. NCBI's taxonomy places the organism in Eukaryota, Viridiplantae, Streptophyta, Magnoliopsida, Lamiales, Lamiaceae. The transcript has 2 exons. The record is from RefSeq and is a predicted model, not a curated record.
CAUCGUUUCAUUUUUUUUCUUAUUUAUGUCCCGUAAAAAUAAUCUGGCAACCGGUGUAUGACGUGUUCCGACCAAGUGCUUCGAAAGUAAUACACGUGGAAUUAAAAAACAAAAAUCACAAAAUCCACGUAAAAGAGACUAGCAAAGCUCUUCUUCCUCUUUCUAGCGAUUUCAACCUCCCAAACUUACCAAUUGGGGCUGCAGGGGCUGCCCUUCUCUUGGCCGACAGCUGUUGCUGCUUAUUUUGCAAAGGUGUGAUAUCUCUCUCUGCAAAGGUGGAUGCUUGAUGAUUCUUGAGGUUUUAGUGUGAGAGAGAAAGAAAAAUCAACAACGUCGGAGGGUUGUUGCUGCAUCCAUUCCCUUCCCCUCCCCACUCACCGACACCGUCAAAAGUAGCGUCACCGUUGCGAUCGCCUAAGCUACCAGAAUCCUAGCCGGUGGCAUUCUCCAGUCGAAACACUGCAUUUUCCCCUGUUUUUUCCACUAUCCUAUUUUUCGCCUUUCCUUAUCAUCUAAGCAAUACAACGACGGAUAAGAUGGCGGGGGAUGAAAUAAUCGACGGAGGAUGGAGGAAUCGGCGGAGGAGGAAUCACCGGUGAUUGAAGGAGUUAGGGUUGAAUUAGGGGGAAUGGGAGAAGAAGAAAUCGUUUUUGUUUAAGGAAGAAGAGAUUUGAAGCGAUACGUGGAUUUUGUGAUUUUUUUUUAAAAUUCCACGUGUAUUACCUUUGUGGCACUUGGCUGGAACACGACAUACACCGGUCGCCGGUUUAUUUUUGCGCGACAUAAAUAAGAAAAAAAACAAAACGAUGAGUAUUGUUUUGUAAAUAUGCUUAUGGUAGGAUAUAUUUGAGAAAACGCUCAAACGAUGGGCCAAAAACUGAUAUUUACCAUUCUUAAAUUAUAGUUUG